This 253-nucleotide ribosomal RNA is filed under the name uncultured bacterium. RNAcentral's name for it is "partial 16S ribosomal RNA". It matches the Rfam family "Bacterial small subunit ribosomal RNA", at positions 524 to 776 of the family's 1533-position model. The record is from RNAcentral.
UACGUAGGGUGCAAGCGUUGUCCGGAAUUAUUGGGCGUAAAGAGCUCGUAGGCGGCUUGUCACGUCGGGUGUGAAGGCCCGGGGCUUAACCCCGGGUCUGCAUUCGAUACGGGCUAGCUAGAGUGUGGUAGGGGAGAUCGGAAUUCCUGGUGUAGCGGUGAAAUGCGCAGAUAUCAGGAGGAACACCGGUGGCGAAGGCGGAUCUCUGGGCCAUUACUGACGCUGAGGAGCGAAAGCGUGGGGAGCGAACAGG